CCUACGGGAGGCAGCAGUGAGGAAUAUUGGUCAAUGGACGAGAGUCUGAACCAGCCAAGUAGCGUGAAGGAUGACUGCCCUAUGGGUUGUAAACUUCUUUUAUAAAGGAAUAAAACGAGGCACGUGUGCCUUUUUGCAUGUACUUUAUGAAUAAGGAUCGGCUAACUCCGUGCCAGCAGCCGCGGUAAUACGGAGGAUCCGAGCGUUAACCGGAUUUAUUGGGUUUAAAGGGAGCGUAGAUGGGUGGUGAAGUUCGUUGUGAAAGUUUGCGGCUCAACCGGAAAAUUGCAAUUGAAACUGGCAGUCUUGAGUACAGUUGAGGUAGGCGGAAUUCGUGGUGUAGCGGUGAAAUGCUUAGAUAUCACGAAGAACCCCGAUUGCGAAGGCAGCUUACUAAACUGUGACUGACAUUGAUGCUCGAAAGUGUGGGUAGCAAACAGGAUUAGAUACCCCUGUAGUC
RNAcentral lists this ribosomal RNA (460 nucleotides) under uncultured bacterium. RNAcentral's name for it is "partial 16S ribosomal RNA". It matches the Rfam family "Bacterial small subunit ribosomal RNA", at positions 338 to 795 of the family's 1533-position model. The record is from RNAcentral.